Populus nigra (black poplar) is the source of this 3426-nucleotide RNA transcript. RefSeq lists it as uncharacterized. NCBI's taxonomy places the organism in Eukaryota, Viridiplantae, Streptophyta, Magnoliopsida, Malpighiales, Salicaceae. The record is from RefSeq and is a predicted model, not a curated record. The transcript has 8 exons.
UCCUCCCAAAUCCCUGAUAACUGAUCAUCAUCAACCACAAUGUCUUAUCAAUGGUCAUCACUCGUGAAUUGAAAAAUCCCGAUCCCAGAAUUCAUAAUUUUUAGCUCUCAGUUUUCUUACUCACUACGUGUGAACAAAUGGAACCGAACCAAGGCCAGCUUCAACAAUUUCAAGAUACCGUAACUUUUGAUGAUGAUACAGCUGUUCUCGAUAGUCCCUUGGUAGAAACCCAGGUGGAGAAACUUGGUUUUUAUACUCAAGUGCUUGGUGAUUCUGUUGAGAAUGCUAAACAUGAACUAGGGAGCCAGGUAAUCCCUGACAGUGAGGAUGAAGAAAUCCAUGGAGACCAAUUAGAGAAAGCUGCUGAUGGGGUAUCUGAUGUUGAAACUGGUACAAGAAUUAAAGGAAAUGGAGUAGUAGGCUUACAAAUGAGGCAGCCCAGUCCGCGUUUUCAGUGGAUAAAGGAUUUCGCAGAAGAUUUUGUUUCUGAUGGCUCUGCUGGUGAAGAUAAAGGUGCAGGGGCUUUAAUUAAUGCUGAAGACACCGAUGAGAAAACUGAUUGUCCUCGAUUGCUUACAUGUGAUCAAGAGUUUGCAAGGUUAAAUUAUGUUGACUCUGAGGAACCUGGAGAGUCAUCUCAAGCUAGUGCACUUGGCUUUGUGGAUCACUUCCUAUCAGAUAAUGAUGUGAACUUUUCUCCUAGAACUGAGCUCAGAAACACUGUCAGGAAGAAAUCCCCUCCUGUUCUGAGUGCAAAAGGCUGUCGAAAUUUGGCCAAAAGUAUCAAAACCAGAACCCCAAUUUGUAAACAUAAGACCUUUGGAGGGGUUGAUUUCUCUAGCAAGAGGAUGGAUGAGUCUUUUGAUUGUGGAGGCUGCCAGCAGAGAUAUGUGCCAAGGCAUCAGAAGGCAGGGUAUAUUGAUGGUAAAGGAGGUUGCAGAUCAGAUAAUGACAGUGAAGAGAAUUAUGAAGAUCUUCAUAAGAAAGUAACAAGUUCACCCCACACAGAUUCAAGGGUUGCAGGCCACAGUGUGAAAGAGACAUACAGAACAGGACAAGAAUAUGAAUUUAUAUCUGAAAAUACUUCUGACAAUAAGCCAAUGGAACAGAUUUUUGACCUUGCAUCAGGGCACGAGAUGGACAUUUGCAGUAAUGAAAGAAAUACAUCAGACACGUUGGAUAUUGGUUGUAACACCCAAAUAGCUGCUGAAGCCAUGGAAGCUUUAUUUUACGGCCCCCCAGCUGAUAGCAGUGCUGGUGAGGCUUUUCAAGAUCCUAACGACCCUCUUGUAGAUUCUUCAAAAGGUGUAACAAAUAGUAAAGUUCAUUUAAAGGAACUUUCCUAUGAAAAAGGUGUUCUCUGCAGUCUAGAGGACAUCACAAGAGUGCCAAAGCAAAGAAAGGUUUAUGCUAGAAAGGGAGCUUCUGUUUCAUCUUGGAAACAGCCUAGUCAUCAGGAGUUGCAUCGUGACUUGUCAGAAACAACAAAAAGGAAAAGAAGCAAACCCUUGGUUGGGGAGUUCACUGGUAGGAGUUUUAUCCAUGCAACCAAAAGUUCAGCCACAACAUCUCGUAAGACUAUUGACCAAAGAAAGGAUGAGGAACCUGCGAGGAGAAACAAAAUUAAGGAAUGUGACAACUAUGGGAGUUUGUCAGCGCCAGUUGAAAGCAUUUCACCUGGCAAACAACAGAUACUACAGGAUCCUUUUGCCUCCCAAGACUUGCAUCGAAGGUUAGGAGCCAAAUUCAAAAGGACUAAUGGUGGGUCAGCUAAUCCAGGGGCAAGGACAGAUGAUUUCAUGGAGGGUAGUAUAAUUACAUACAGAAGAAAGAGGAGUCAUUUGGUUGCGAAACCAUCCAAAAUUUCGACCACUACAGGAAGAUGUCCCAAAUUUUGUUUCAACACAUCUGAAGGAGGAAGAAUCAAUGGACUGAGCCAAGAAAAGCUUGCUAGCAUGGAGGUAUCUACCUCAAACAAUUUGCUAAAGCUGAAUGCGUGGAGCUAUCCCAAAGGUAAAAGAACACGACGUGGACUGCCAAGUCAUUUAAAUAUAGCUACUAACCAAUAUACCCCAUUCACCAUAGCUGAUGGCAAAGACCACCACCGAAAACCACUCAACAUAAACCUUCCCAGAUCAUCCCCGAUGAAAAAGCUUAUUAGAUUAGGCAAUCCCAAGUCAUUACCUGGUUCCAGAUGGAAGGAUUUGAGGAAACGUCGAGAUACGGCAUGUUUAGGAGUUCUGUUUAGCCAGAAUUUAGGUGAUGAUAUCAUCAGGCAGCAGAAAAAGAUCUUGGCAAGGCUUGGCAUUUCCGUGGCAUUAUCUUUAGCAGAUGCUACACACUUUGUAGUGGAUAGAUUUGUGCGUACAAGGAACAUGUUGGAAGCUAUUGCUCUUGGUAAACCAGUGGUGACUCAUUUAUGGCUUGAGAGCUGCGGGCAAGCAGGCCUCCUUAUUGAUGAGAAAAACUUUAUCUUAAGAGAUGCAAAGAAGGAAAAGGAGAUUGGUUUUAGCCUGCCUGUUUCACUGGCUCGUGCAAACCAACAACCACUUCUAAAGGGUCAAAGAGUCUUCAUUACACCAAAUAUAAAACCUGAAAAAGAAAUGAUAACUAGCUUGGUCAAUGCUCUUCAUGGCCAGAUCAUGGAGAAAAGUCAGAUAUUUGCUUUGAAAAUUCCAGAUGAUCUAUUGAUUCUUUCAUGUGAAGAAGAUCAUGCAAUUUGUGUGCCACUUCUUGAUAAAGGAGCAGCAGUUUACAGCUCGGAGCUUCUAUUGAAUGGGAUUGUUAUCCAGAAAUUAGAAUAUGAGAGGUCAGAACUUGUCCACCGUCUGGCAAGAAUAUCAAAUUACAUAGUGUGAAUACACACGCACAGAGAUAAGAUGCAUGCUUGUUGCACCUUUGGCAAAGGGAUGAUUUUAUUUGAUCACCCAACGUGGUGAAAUUCUGUUCAUCAAUGAUUUGUAAUAGCUUCGAUGCAUCAGUAAUAACAAAAGUCAUUUCGGUCUCAGUGCUUUAGCAAACUAACUUAAGAGCACACUUGAACUUCUGCUUACUGGCUGGAUGAAGGAUUGCGAUAGAUUUGCUCAUCUUGGGCUCAAUCUGCCUACAUCACAAGACAGUUCGUUGUAAAGGGCAUAUAUAUAAGACCCACAUUUGGAUGAUUCAAUCAAGCAUCGACUCUUUGUGAAUGAAGCCAAGAGAAAUCGAGUGAGCAAGAGGUGAAGGAGAUGGUGCUGAAUUUGUCUUUCCCUGAACAGAAUAAUAAGUUGCUGCUCUUUUUGUAAAACAAAUGCAAGUUGUAAAUGUGGUAGUGAAUGCGAGGUUACCAUGUAGUUAAGACCCUUUUUGUAAAUCAGGUCAUGAUGGAAAGCAAAUCCUUUCUUCCUUGUAAAUCAGGUCGUGAGGGAAAAACAAUUUCAAGAGAUA